RNAcentral lists this ribosomal RNA (253 nucleotides) under uncultured bacterium. RNAcentral's name for it is "partial 16S ribosomal RNA". It matches the Rfam family "Bacterial small subunit ribosomal RNA", at positions 524 to 776 of the family's 1533-position model. The record is from RNAcentral.
UACGGAGGGUGCAAGCGUUAUCCGGAUUCACUGGGUUUAAAGGGUGCGUAGGUGGGCAGGUAAGUCAGUGGUGAAAUCUCCGGGCUUAACCCGGAAACUGCCAUUGAUACUAUCAGUCUUGAAUACCGUGGAGGUAAGCGGAAUAUGUCAUGUAGCGGUGAAAUGCUUAGAUAUGACAUAGAACACCAAUUGCGAAGGCAGCUUACUGCCCGAAUAUUGACACUGAGGCACGAAAGCGUGGGGAGCAAACAGG